This 2910-nucleotide long non-coding RNA is filed under the name Sus scrofa (pig). Its description in RNAcentral is "lncRNA (ENSSSCG00015003520.1)". The record is from RNAcentral. Lineage: Eukaryota; Metazoa; Chordata; Mammalia; Artiodactyla; Suidae.
GGGCUGCAGCUGCAGCACAUGGAAGUUCCCAGGCUAGGGGUCUAACCUGAGCUCCAGCUACCAGCCUACACCACAGCCACAGCCACACGGGAUCCAAGCUGCAUCUGCGACCUACACCACAGCUCACGGCAAUGCUGGAUCCUUAACCCACUGAGGGUUCUUUUAUGGAGCCCAGGCUGGUGAUUGGGAGCCAGCCUGUCUUGGAAGAGCCCUGUGUGGGGCCCAGAGGCGGAAGGGUGUGGAGCGGGCCCCGGAGCCCCGGGAUGCCUGCUGGGCUUUUUGAGCUGCACAGAUUGGUGCUCCUGAGGGGCUUUGGUUUUCUUCCCUUUGACUGUGGCCGUCCUGACCUCGGGGUCGGAGGUGACCCCCCCGAGGAGUGGCAUUCCUGAGUUCCCCGUGGGAGUGGGGCAGCUGCAUGAGGAGGCCAUUGACCCACGUGGAUGAUGCGUCUUGGGUUUGGGCCGUGGGGCACCAGCCUGCUGCAGGCUCUUGAGGGGUCUUCAGCGACCCUGGCUGGGACGGGAGGAGUGGGCCUAGGAGGUGGCGUUGAAGGCGUAGGCCCAGCUGGUGGCGGCCCGGCUCCUCGGCGACCAGCAGAGGUGGUUGACCUGCAAGUUUCUAACCUGAUGCUCUGACGUUCUGUUCUGCUGCAGUGAAGUUGGGAGUAUGCGGCUUUUUCUGUCAGGCAGUUUUGGUGACGUCGGCCUUUCUGGUGGCCGAAUCCUGGCCUUGGAGUCGGGAGAAGCCCUUGCUGAGGGGGAGGCGGCCCAGGUGGGUCUGGACCUGAGCACGGCGCUCUCUGCCCGCCUGCCUGGGUGCGGGGCUGUGGGGGCAAGAGGCCUAAGCGGUGGCAUCCGGGACAGGGCCCGCUCUCCCAGGGGAGUGUUCUGGUUUUCCAGCGAAGCAGGCAGGACUCUCAGCCCUUAGCUUAUGUCGCAGAGGGCCAGUGCUGAGUGACAGCCAGGGUGAUGCGGCCUCCCUGUUUGCAUCCGGGGAAAGCCAGGCCUGCUCGGACAGGGUCUAUCCUGUUUCUGUGGGGCAAGCCCCGAAGCUGAGCGGUGCCUCUGUGGCUGGGGCCCCGCAGGUGAAGCUGCUGCUUUUCCUUGUGCAUUGAACUUCCCAGGGUGGACUCUGCUGGCGAGCAGAGGGGCUCAGGGUGGGGGUGCCUGGCUUCCCUGAAGGGCGGGAGGCUAGAUGUCCACAUUCCCGGAACUGCAAAGGCGAAAAAGGUGCCAGGGCCUGUGCCAGGAGCUGCAGGUGAGUUCCGGGAGGUUGUGCCCACAGCCGAGCCCCACCCUGUCCUCACGUGGCCACUGUGACUCAGGCGCACCUGUGCCAAAUGGCCCUUUAUUCUGGAAGCCCAAGGAGACAGCCCUGUGCUCUGUCCACCCAGCCCUUCAGCUCGGCUGGGGUUAACCUGUCACUCCUUUGCUGCUCCCACCUUUGUGGUUCCUGCGGAGGGCUCCCCCCGCCCGUCCCUCUCUAGGAAUCACUGACAUUCCCCCCAGAAUCAGAGUUUCUCUAGAUUUGGGGCUGGUCCGCUCGUUCCAGAAGGAUACUUUGUUUUUCCUUUUGCUGCUUCGACCUUCGACCUUCGCUUUUAGUCUUCUUUGAAGAAAUUCACCUUUUGCAGCUGAAGUUGGAAAUGUCUGUAAAGCGUGGACAGCUGCCAGCAUUCGAGGCACAGCAGAGUCAUGUGCGGAGCUUGGAAGGUCUUGGCUCUUCCCCUGUUCAGUUUGGUGGGUGUUGGGUGGGCUCUUCGCAAGAGCUAGACUGGCUCUUCGAAAAAAUGUUCCCGCUGAUGCAGAAGUGAGAACCUGUUUUUUUUUUUCUUUUGGCCACACCGUAGCAUGCAGAAGUUCCUGAGCCAGGGGUCGAACCCUCACUACAGCAGUGACAACGCCAGGUCCUUAAUGGCCAGGCCACCAGGAAACUCCAAAACUCCAUUUAAAGUGAGGACCUUCGGAUCCAAAACCUUUGAACUUUUCUGAUCCGAUAACCACACUGAAGGGGACUGUGGUAGUGACUUGAAGACAAACUAAUUUUUUUCCUUAACGCUUUCUCAGUUAAAAAAAAAAUACCUGCUCACUGUAGAAAAAUUGGGAAGUUUAAGACUUUUUAAAGUAUCAGGGAAAAAAAACCCGCCAAGAUUACACCCGUCAGAAUCAGCCACCGACAGCGUUAUUAGCAUCUCUAGUUUUUUUUUUUUUUUUUGGCCUUGCCCAGGGCUUGCAGAAGUUCCCGGGCCCAGGAUUGAACCGGCGCCAUAGCACCAACUCCUGUUAGUGUCUUUUUUUUCAUUGUUUUGUCUGUUUCUGAUUCACAUCACUGCUUUUCAGCAGGCAUUACUGGCCUAGAGUGGGACAUGGCUUUUCCAGGUCUGGAAUUGUCCCCGAUGCUUCUUUAGGAACCAGUACAUGCUGGCUGUGUACAAGGCCUGUGGGGCCGUGGACACACCUCAGGGCGAGGGAAACCCAUCUUCAAGAUCUCUUGUCACGUCACUCAGGUGACACCUCCCUGGGCUCCGUUACAGUUGUCACAGACAUCUGCUUGUGUGUUUUGGUUUAAGUGUUUUUUUGUUUUUUGUUUUUUUAAUUGAUUUCCUAUUUUGAGUGAGAUUAUGUAAUUUAGGGGGAUACAUGCAAACAGGAUCAGUUCAUUAAUUUUUCUUUUUGGCCGUGCUCUUGGCAUGCAAGAGUUCCUGGGUCAGGGAUCACGCCCAGCCACAACUGUAAACAGAGCCACAGCAGUGACAACUUGAAUCCUUAACCCAUUGAGCCAGGAGGGACACCGCAUUAAUUUUGGCUGUUAAAUGCAAAAGCUUUGGGAGUUCCCACUGUGGCUCAGUGGGUUAUGAACCUGACUAGUAUCCAUGAGGACAUGGGUUCAAUCCCUGGCCUUGCUCAGUGG